GGCACCGCCUCUCCCUCCCGGCUCUGUGACAACGGCGGUGACGUAUGGGAUGUGACGAAAGGGUGGCGGGAGGGGCGGGUGUGGCCCGAAAAGGCCAGGGAGCCAUUAGUAAAUGCGCCACCCGAGACGCCGGACCCGCCCAAGGGCUGACCUCCCGCCCGCUCCUUCCGGUCGCGCUCAGGGGCCAACCCCAGGGCCCAGGCCGCGGCCCCACUGCCUGCGAGCCCGGACAUCUCUCCUCUACCCAAGUUCACUAAGGGAAUGAAGUCUGCUAUUCUUACCACUUGGAAACGGAGGCAGACCUGGGCUUGCUGCAGCACUGACCCAGAUUGCACGGGGCUGUUGUGAGAUGUGCUUUAGCCCUCAGCCGGGGUUCCGCUCAUGAUACAUCACCCCUUCAGCCUCCCCCCACCCAGGGUGUGUAGUGGGAAGCAACGCGAGGGACCCUUAUGGGGUGCUGGAAACGAUCUCCAUCUUGAUCCUGGUGGUAAAAAUUCACGGAGCUGGACCCUUAAGCCCAGCGUGCUUUGCUCCCCUCCAGCCAUCCCCCCGCCCCUGCCGCUGCGCCCCAGGCUUUCUUCUUGUUCUCUCUUUUCCUCCGCUUGCCAGGGACUCCUACUCGGCCCCCCUUUGCUGGUGGAGCAUCUGCCUUCCCCAUCCUGCUUUCUGCUCCUUCCCCUCUGCUUCCUCCUCCUUCUGGGAGUCCUGCAGGACCCUCUGUGGAUGGGAUCAGGGGAGGCAGCUUUGCUUAGGGAGGGAGGUACAGGCCAGAGACCCUGGUUCCCCUCCCCUGGGCAGGCAAACUGCAGACUCGGUUGCGGGGAGGAUAAAGUGUAGCCUGGGCUUGCGGAGGAAGCCUGGAAGGGCCAGACCUGGCACCUACCCUCAGGGAGUCCACAGCUUGGCAGGGUUCAGAAGAUGCCCCCAGCGAGCCAGGGGCGCAGGUGGAAGGGGCACAGGUGCAUAGAGGGUGCUGCGUUCUGAGCGUGGCAGUUGGAGUCCCCUGGGGCGGGGUGGGGGUGGGGGUAGACAUUCCAGAUGGAGUAAAGAGCAUCAGAUGUCGUUGUGGGGAAGUCAGUUCACACCAGGUCCCUCUCUGGGAGAAGCUCACAGGUGUGUUUGGCAGUCUUCCUUGGACAGAGACCAUACCUCCUCAGGUUUAUUUUUAUUUUUAUUUUA
Aethalodelphis obliquidens (Pacific white-sided dolphin) is the source of this 1179-nucleotide long non-coding RNA. RefSeq lists it as uncharacterized. NCBI's taxonomy places the organism in Eukaryota, Metazoa, Chordata, Mammalia, Artiodactyla, Delphinidae. The record is from RefSeq and is a predicted model, not a curated record. The transcript is spliced from 2 exons.